GACUCGUUGGUCAAGAGGUUAAGACACCGCCCUUUCACGGCGGAAACACGGGUUCGAGUCCCGUACGGGUCACCA
Molecule: transfer RNA, 75 nt
Filed under: Oscillospiraceae bacterium
Lineage: Bacteria; Bacillati; Bacillota; Clostridia; Eubacteriales; Oscillospiraceae
Description: tRNA-Glu
Rfam family: tRNA
About the family: Transfer RNA (tRNA) molecules are approximately 80 nucleotides in length.
Source: RNAcentral